This 414-nucleotide ribosomal RNA is filed under the name uncultured microorganism. RNAcentral describes it as "bacterial SSU rRNA". It matches the Rfam family "Archaeal small subunit ribosomal RNA", at positions 459 to 872 of the family's 1478-position model. The record is from RNAcentral.
CAUCAGCCGCGGUAAUACCGGCGGCCCGAGUGGCGGUCACUAUUAUUGGGCUUAAAGCGUCCGUAGCCGGGUUGGGAAGUCCUCCGGGAAAUCUGGCCGCUUAACGGUCAGAAUGCCGGAGGAUACUCCCAGCCUAGGGAGCGGGAGAGGCCGAGGGGAUUCCCGGAGUAGGGGGGAAAUCCUAUAAUCCCGGGAGGACCACCUGUGGCGAAGGCGCUCGGCUGGAACGCGUCCGACGGUGAGGGACGAAGGCCAGGGGAGCAAACCGGAUUAGAUACCCGGGUAGUCCUGGCUGUAAACGAUGCGGACUUUGUGUCGGACAAGCUAUGAGCUUGUCCGGUGCCGGAGGGAAACCGUUAAGUCCGCCGCCUGGGGAGUACGGCCGCAAGGCUGAAACUUAAAGGAAUUGGCGGG